RNAcentral lists this transfer RNA (72 nucleotides) under Bos taurus (domestic cattle). It matches the Rfam family "tRNA". From Rfam's summary of the family: Transfer RNA (tRNA) molecules are approximately 80 nucleotides in length. Their secondary structure includes four short double-helical elements and three loops (D, anti-codon, and T loops). Further hydrogen bonds mediate the characteristic L-shaped molecular structure. tRNAs have two regions of fundamental functional importance: the anti-codon, which is responsible for specific mRNA codon recognition, and the 3' end, to which the tRNAs corresponding amino acid is attached (by aminoacyl-tRNA synthetases). tRNAs cope with the degeneracy of the genetic code in two manners: having more than one tRNA (with a specific anti-codon) for a particular amino acid; and 'wobble' base-pairing, i.e. permitting non-standard base-pairing at the 3rd anti-codon position. Lineage: Eukaryota; Metazoa; Chordata; Mammalia; Artiodactyla; Bovidae. RNAcentral also lists the same sequence under 3 other names. The record is from Rfam by way of RNAcentral.
UCCCUGGUGGCUCAGAGGGUAAAGCAUCUGCCUGCAAUGCAGGAGCCCCGGGUUCAAUUCCUGGAUUGGGAA